GGCUCGGUAGCUUAGUUGGUAAAGCACUCGUCUAGCAUACAAGAGUCCUGGGUUCAAGUCCCAGCCGAGCAC
Molecule: transfer RNA, 72 nt
Filed under: Aedes aegypti (yellow fever mosquito)
Lineage: Eukaryota; Metazoa; Arthropoda; Insecta; Diptera; Culicidae
Rfam family: tRNA
About the family: Transfer RNA (tRNA) molecules are approximately 80 nucleotides in length. Their secondary structure includes four short double-helical elements and three loops (D, anti-codon, and T loops). Further hydrogen bonds mediate the characteristic L-shaped molecular structure. tRNAs have two regions of fundamental functional importance: the anti-codon, which is responsible for specific mRNA codon recognition, and the 3' end, to which the tRNAs corresponding amino acid is attached (by aminoacyl-tRNA synthetases). tRNAs cope with the degeneracy of the genetic code in two manners: having more than one tRNA (with a specific anti-codon) for a particular amino acid; and 'wobble' base-pairing, i.e. permitting non-standard base-pairing at the 3rd anti-codon position.
Source: Rfam by way of RNAcentral